AUGAAGGAAGGGACAUCGCAUUCCAGAACAAGAUCCGCCAUCCCGUCUCAAGAGAACAUCCAAAACAUUAACGUGCGCAUCAAUGGCGCCUCCUCGCGCGUUCGCUUGUACGACAAAAAAAUACAUCCAUCAAGCUCCCAUCGCUCGUCCCCGUCUUUAAUGUGUCGAAGUAAAAAAAAAUUAGCGAUGGAUCCCUUCCUUCCCUUGGAAGGUAGCCUCUACUUUUCUUUUGGCCCACAUCGUCACAUCAGCUCUCGCACGCAACCUCCAAAGCCUCCGCCGCCGCCGCCGCCGCCGCCUCAGCCAUUUCUCUCGUCUUCUCCUCCCUGUUCCCCUGCCCUAGCCUAUCUCUAGCACUCCGCCUCUCCCUUUCUUCCUCGAGUACGGCAGCGGAAGGGGGGCCGCGACGGGAGAGAGGUUCUCCGCCCCCGACAGACGACGUCACCGCCUCCGACCUUGGCCUCGUCUGCAGCAGCAGGGACCUCUGCCCGUGUGUCUCUGUCUCGCUGCUCAUCCUCCGGGAGGGGACUCGGAAGGAGGGUCAUGCUCCUGGUUGGGAUCUCCGUGCUCCCGCUCCUGCACCUCCAUCUGCGUUCGAUCUCGUCACUGGUGAGUAGUGCUCUGCUCAGCGUGGGGAUGACCUAUGAGAUUCUUAGUUUGAAAUCUGAUGUGAAUCUCCUAAAAACCGAUGCAAAUCUGUCUUGAGAACAUAACCUUCGAAUCACGGAUCCUUGGAGAUUUUCUGAAGCUUUAGUCCCAAGCCAGGAAAUGGCUAGCUGGCUAUGUUAAUCAUCGCUCUGAGGAAAUCAAAAUCUUCUGUGGGAAUGGCCACUCUGAAUGUUCUGAACCAUCCCUUGAUGUUGUCUCUAGGUCCGUCCAGGCCCUGCCGUCCACUUGCCGACUUCUUCUUGGCGCAAUGGGUGGGGUACGUUGGUCUGUGUUGGUCUCCAGUUUUGGUCUUGUUGUAGAGGUCUUCGACGGCGGUUGUGACGCGGUUCGGUUGCUCUGUGGCUUGCCCCAUCGCCAUCGGCAUGACGUUGGCCUAGGUGAAGCAAGUAUUUUAGUACGCGUGGUGGGUGUGUUUGCUAAUUCCUGUGAUUGGCAUUGUAAUAGCUGAAAGGCGUUGUAUCCGGCUUCUUUGCCGCUUAUUCUUUAAUAUAUGAUACAUAUGCUCAUGCGUAUUCAAGAAAAAUGUUCUGAACCAUCCCUACCCAUAUAAAGAAAUUGUGGGAGCGGGACGGCGGGAUCUGCUCCGUCCGGUGCGGGACGCGCUACUGUCGCUCAUGCAGCAGAACGGCGUCGACCUGAUCUUCUGGAGGGCAGAGUCGAACCAGAACAUGUAUCAAGGGACCAUGACAUAUCUAGCAUCGGUAUGUGAAGAUGGCAAGAUCUGGUCAUGGCAUCUGACUUUUGACAAGUCAGUAUCUUCCAAGAAAAUUAAUCCUGCUCGGCCUCUUCGCGUGGUUCGUUGAGUGAUGGGUCGUGCCAUUGUCUAACUGGGUGCCCCUCGCGGCCGCCGUCUGGGCGAUGAUUCAGUAUGGGGUUGUAGAAGAUUUGAACAAAAGAUGGAAGCACCUUAUACUGAACACAACAGUACAGGCCUUGGGAGGGGUUGAACAAACUUUUGAUUGAAGUUUGGCCCAACUACAUGGAACCGAAACUAUCAAGGAAGUUUCGUGCUUGGAUGCAACUCAGUAGUUGGUAGUUCAAAAGGUUUCACAAAUAACAUUAGAUUAUACUAUAUGCAUCUGAUCCAUGGAAGUUGAUUAUGUAGAAUCAAAUCAUUUCAAAAUUCCUUUUGAUUCUGUUGAUUUGAGGUAGACGGUACACCUGCUGCAGUGGACUUCGUCGUCUCAUCAGCAUGCUCGCCCGCGACAGUACACCUGCUGCAGCUCCGGUGAGACGCUGGAACUCAUGGCGGCGCUCAUGGCGGUGUGCCUCAUACUGUACCUCAACUAACAUAUUGAUCUUCUACUUCUUUGCUAAUCAAACUGGGAAUCAUACUAUUCUCUUUCUGUCCUGUAAGCCCCACUAAUCACUAGGUCUCAUUACUCUUUCUAUCCGACGUGGCAUGCGAGAGCGAAGGAUAGAGGUGGCCACGAAAUACCCAACAAAUGCACUUGUCGAUCGUCUUGCUCUUAUUAGCUUGAUACUGCACUGUCGGCCCUGAAUCCUUGGAUAUUGGGAAGUUUGAAGAAGCAUGUGGUGUAGAUGAUGCCCAUCGACGCUGCUACCUCCGGAAGGUCACGGAUGAGGCCACCCGAGCUGGACAACGGGGCGUCUUUGGAUGUGGAGGAGGUCCGACCAGAGGAGCGGCAUGUACUUCCCUUGGUUUGAAUACUAUGGUCAGAUUUUUUUCCCGAGAAUCCACAAGUUGUGCUGGUCUUGAAGAAUGUAUUAAGUUCAUUGCAAACUUAAAGUUCAGAGAUGAUAUGCAAGGGCGCCGCCUCUCCCUCACCGUCCAUCGUCACUAGACACGACGUCGUGAGCAGCACUUGCUAUAAUAUAUAUAUAUAUAUAUAUAUAUAUAUAUAUAUAUAUAUAUA
RNAcentral lists this ribosomal RNA (2546 nucleotides) under Triticum aestivum (bread wheat). RNAcentral describes it as "partial small subunit ribosomal RNA". The record is from RNAcentral. Lineage: Eukaryota; Viridiplantae; Streptophyta; Magnoliopsida; Poales; Poaceae.